CCGCACAAAGCGGUGGAGCAUGUGGUUUAAUUUCGCAGCAACGCGAAGAACCUUACCUACUCUUGACAUCCAGAGAACUUUCCAGAGAUGGAUUGGUGCCUUCGGGAAACUCUGAGACAGGUGCUGCAUGGCUGUCGUCAGCUCGUGUUGUGAAAUGUUGGGUUAAGUCCCGCAACGAGCGCAACCCUUAUCCUUGUUUGCCAGCACGUAAUGGUGGGAACUCCAGGGAGACUGCCGGUGAUAAACCGGAGGAAGGUGGGGACGACGUCAAGUCAUCAUGGCCCUUACGAGUAGGGCUACACACGUGCUACAAUGGCGUAUACAGAGGGCUGCCAACCAGCGAUGGUGAGCGAAUCCCGGAAAGUACGUCGUAGUCCGGAUUGGAGUCUGCAACUCGACUCCAUGAAGUCGGAAUCGCUAGUAAUCGUGAAUCAGAAUGUCACGGUGAAUACGUUCCCGGGCCUUGUACACACCGCCCGUCACACCAUGGGAGUGGGAGGCACCAGAAGUAGAUAGCUUAACCUUCGCGAGGGCGUCUACCACGGUGUGGUUCAUGACUGGGGAGAAGUCGUAACAAGGUAACCAAGGGCGAUGCGG
This 597-nucleotide ribosomal RNA is filed under the name uncultured Photobacterium sp. RNAcentral describes it as "bacterial SSU rRNA". It matches the Rfam family "Bacterial small subunit ribosomal RNA", at positions 921 to 1517 of the family's 1533-position model. The record is from RNAcentral. Lineage: Bacteria; Pseudomonadati; Pseudomonadota; Gammaproteobacteria; Vibrionales; Vibrionaceae.